AAGAACCCAGCUCAAGCUGCCCUCUCUUUUUCUGCAGCCAAUAUAUGUAUGUCCCCUUGUUCCAUUCACAUUCACAUUCACUAAAUGCCAAUGCAAGAGAGAAGAGAGAGAUGAUGUUCCAUGCUCAUGACAAAACUUAUCAUAUAGUAUAAUAUCGGUCAAAAGAGAGGGGCUACCACCAACCUGAUUUAAUGCAUGCCAUGGAAUUAUUACUAUCUUUCUGCAUUAGAUAUUACAUAGCAUCCUAGCUGUGGAUCUUUAUCAUCACUCUCACACUUGUAUAUAACAAUUGUUGCCCAAUUAGGAUAAGGACCUGCAUUGUUUCAAUUCAUAUAGAGUGGGUGGUGUUGUCACGAGCAUUAUUAAUGUAUAACGUAAUUUCCCCCAAUCUCAUAAAACGACUAAAAGAACAAGAAUUGAAACCACAUAUUAUUAUUAGUGUUUCAUAUUCAACGCGAAAAUGAUGUCCACUUCCCAUCAUAGUUCUUACGUACUUUUCUCUCGCUUUCAUGCUCUCUCCAAUAACGA
Molecule: long non-coding RNA, 528 nt
Organism: Arabidopsis thaliana (thale cress)
Lineage: Eukaryota; Viridiplantae; Streptophyta; Magnoliopsida; Brassicales; Brassicaceae
Product: other RNA
Exons: 1
Source: RefSeq